Molecule: long non-coding RNA, 1965 nt
Organism: Engraulis encrasicolus (European anchovy)
Lineage: Eukaryota; Metazoa; Chordata; Actinopteri; Clupeiformes; Engraulidae
Exons: 4
Source: RefSeq, a predicted model, not a curated record
AAUACCGCUACGCCCAUUCCUCCUUACUAGACCGCCCUCACAGUAACGCCCCUUUGGCUGUUCAAGUUUCUGAAGUCAGUUGCUGCCGAAUGACAACACAAGCGCCGGACUUUUUAAAACGACUGGAAGGAUUUCGCUGCAGCGAUCACUCAACUGUCGGUAAGAUUUCGAUAUUAAAUGCAUGAAUAUACAUAACGGUUACUUUACGAGUUGACUUUCAGUCGGAGGGCGAACAUUUAACCACCUCGGCCCACCAACUAGCGGUGUUGGCUAAUGUUUUUUUUAGCUUCAAGGCAAGCUAACAGGCCGCCCUUCGUAAGUUUGUUUCAGAUGUUGUGUGUGUAUUUGUCAUAAUGUACAGCACUAAGUUAUGGGCAGACAAAACAACUAUUAUUCCUGUGUAAUUACCAUUCUUGUGACUACUUCACUGCAUAUAUUAAGCAGGAAACUGCCUUUGGUUCCCAAAAUAUGAACAUCUGUUGCCCUUCAUACCCCACUACAGGCUUCACUGCCUGGGAAAUCUGUGCUAGUUUACUAUUUCCAACCUGGUAGCUAGCUAGCUAGCCAGCCUGGUCAGAAUGGACAAAGGCAGCACAUCUCAGAAUCUUGUUACGACAAUACGAGGCAAAUGUGAAUGGAGUACAUCGUUAUGUGUAAGAUAAGACGUUAACAUGACAAGGGUGAGAUGAAAGAUACUAAGGGCUAGCCAGACUAGAAUAAAAGUUAACUAGGCCUACCACGAAAAGUUCAUUCAUAAACGUUUUGACGGUCUUUCGAAUGGUUAUCGGAUGGUGUGCUUGCUUGCUUAAAUAUCAUAAAGUUCGCCACAAAGUGAUCACGAAAUGAUCUCCGUAUUAAUAACAGUUUCGUGGUUUGUUACUCGUUUGAAUAAACGUAUAGUUUUGACAUCCCUUUCAAAUGACACGCGGAAGUUUUGAAUAUUUGUUGUACCACGAGCUAUCACGAAAUUAUGCUGGGCCAAAAGGUGUUUAUACAGUAGUUUCUUCCUGUGCUGCGUUGUGCACGUCUGUUUCAUCAUCUGAGCUAUCAGUUGUGUUUCUUUGAAGCAAAGAUGUAUAGAAUAGCACUGAAAGUCGGAGGUGUCAUAUUUGUUCAACCUGGUGUUAAACGUAAUUUCAAUUCUUGACCAGUGCAUGUAAAGAAAUUGAAAAUAAAACCGACUUGACUUGUCAUUGGGUCUGAUUUUAAAUGUGCCAUAUAGUUCAAUGUGGGAGCAGGUUCACACACUAAAUAAGACACUAAGGUCAAGCACAAGCAGAUUAAAAAAAAAAUAAAGAAUUCUCAGAGCAGAUUAGAGCAGACGUUUCAGGUUGCUGCCAUCAGAGAGUAUUGACUUGACCUUAGUGUCUUUAGUGUGCUCCCACAUUGAGCUCUACUUUUUGGGUCCAUGCACCUACUUAUUUCUAAACAUCUAGAGCGCAACAAUACCCCUGCCUCCUGAUAUGCCAUAUAACCUGUAUCUCUCCAAGUGUGUGUGUGUGUGUGUGUGUGUGUGUGAGAGAAUGUGUGCACGCAGAUAUAAGAAGUUGGGGUUGAUGAUCCACAUGAUGGUGAUGGACCAGGACAGCUCUGGACCUCCUGACUGGCAGCUCCAUCCUCAACCUCUCUUCCUGCCCUUCACACAUGUGCAGGCAGCCAGUUUUCUGAAAGAUGGUUGAUGUCAGUACCAACAUGUUGUGAUGGAGGCUUCCACCUGAGCUGAACACAGAAACUUGCACACAGUGUUGGAAGCAGUCGUUCCUGCUCAGCAUCGAUAUGCCAGUAAUGGGUUUGAUGAGCCACAGCAUGGUGAUGGGCAAUCAGCAUCAGGACCAGGGCAGCUCACAAGGAGAACCUCCUGCCCUGCCUCGUCAUCCUCAACCUCCCAUCUCCCUGCUCUUCACACAUGUGCAGGCACGGAGCCAGUUUUCAGAGGGAGGGCUGAUGACACCAGCAACUUUGGUG